This 63-nucleotide transfer RNA is filed under the name Rattus norvegicus (Norway rat). It matches the Rfam family "tRNA". Rfam says of the family: Transfer RNA (tRNA) molecules are approximately 80 nucleotides in length. Their secondary structure includes four short double-helical elements and three loops (D, anti-codon, and T loops). Further hydrogen bonds mediate the characteristic L-shaped molecular structure. tRNAs have two regions of fundamental functional importance: the anti-codon, which is responsible for specific mRNA codon recognition, and the 3' end, to which the tRNAs corresponding amino acid is attached (by aminoacyl-tRNA synthetases). tRNAs cope with the degeneracy of the genetic code in two manners: having more than one tRNA (with a specific anti-codon) for a particular amino acid; and 'wobble' base-pairing, i.e. permitting non-standard base-pairing at the 3rd anti-codon position. The record is from Rfam by way of RNAcentral. Lineage: Eukaryota; Metazoa; Chordata; Mammalia; Rodentia; Muridae.
GGGGAUUUAGCUCAGUGGUAGAGCGCUUGCCUAGCACCCGCAAGGCCCUGGGUUCAGUCCCCA